RNAcentral lists this transfer RNA (74 nucleotides) under Periweissella ghanensis. RNAcentral's name for it is "tRNA-Trp". It matches the Rfam family "tRNA". Rfam says of the family: Transfer RNA (tRNA) molecules are approximately 80 nucleotides in length. RNAcentral also lists the same sequence under 1 other name. The record is from RNAcentral. Lineage: Bacteria; Bacillati; Bacillota; Bacilli; Lactobacillales; Lactobacillaceae.
AGGGAUAUAGUUUAAAGGUAGAACUAUGGUCUCCAAAACCAUCAGUGGGGGUUCGAUUCCCUCUAUCCCUGCCA